This 680-nucleotide ribosomal RNA is filed under the name Lagodon rhomboides. Its description in RNAcentral is "partial 12S ribosomal RNA". It matches the Rfam family "Bacterial small subunit ribosomal RNA", at positions 513 to 1502 of the family's 1533-position model. The record is from RNAcentral. Lineage: Eukaryota; Metazoa; Chordata; Actinopteri; Spariformes; Sparidae.
CACCGCGGUUAUACGGGAGGCCCAAGUUGUUGGAAGUCGGCGUAAAGGGUGGUUAAGAAUAAACUUAAAAUUAAAGCCGAACGCCUUCCGGGCUGUUAUACGCAUCCGAAGGUAAGAAGCUCAAUUACGAAAGUAGCUCUAUAUUUUCUGAACCCACGAAAGCUAAGACACAAACUGGGAUUAGAUACCCCACUAUGCUUAGCCAUAAACAUUGACAGUAUAUUACAUUUUCUGUCCGCCUGGGAACUACAAGCAUUAGCUUAAAACCCAAAGGACUUGGCGGUGCUUUAGACCCACCUAGAGGAGCCUGUUCUAGAACCGAUAAUCCCCGUUCAACCUCACCCUUCCUUGCUCAUUCCGCCUAUAUACCGCCGUCGUCAGCUUACCCUGUGAAGGACAAAAACUAAGCAAGACUGGCAUCGCCCAGUACGUCAGGUCGAGGUGUAGCGAAUGGAAGGGGAAGAAAUGGGCUACAUUCCCUUAUACACAGGGAACUACGAAUGGUAUACUGAAAACGUACACCUGAAGGAGGAUUUAGCAGUAAGAGGAAAAUAGAGUGUUCCACUGAAGCUGGCUCUUAAGCGCGCACACACCGCCCGUCACUCUCCCCAAAACUUUACCUUCACAUUAAUUAAAAUGCCAAAAUCAUAGAGGGGAGGCAAGUCGUAACAUGGUAAGUG